Molecule: ribosomal RNA, 516 nt
Filed under: Pseudomonas sp. P267(2010)
Lineage: Bacteria; Pseudomonadati; Pseudomonadota; Gammaproteobacteria; Pseudomonadales; Pseudomonadaceae
Description: bacterial SSU rRNA
Rfam family: Bacterial small subunit ribosomal RNA
Source: RNAcentral
ACAUGCAGUCGAGCGGUAGAGAGGUGCUUGCACCUCUUGAGAGCGGCGGACGGGUGAGUAAUGCCUAGGAAUCUGCCUGGUAGUGGGGGAUAACGCUCGGAAACGGACGCUAAUACCGCAUACGUCCUACGGGAGAAAGCAGGGGACCUUUGGGCCUUGCGCUAUCAGAUGAGCCUAGGUCGGAUUAGCUAGUUGGUGAGGUAAUGGCUCACCAAGGCGACGAUCCGUAACUGGUCUGAGAGGAUGAUCAGUCACACUGGAACUGAGACACGGUCCAGACUCCUACGGGAGGCAGCAGUGGGGAAUAUUGGACAAUGGGCGAAAGCCUGAUCCAGCCAUGCCGCGUGUGUGAAGAAGGUCUUCGGAUUGUAAAGCACUUUAAGUUGGGAGGAAGGGCAUUAACCUAAUACGUUAGUGUUUUGACGUUACCGACAGAAUAAGCACCGGCUAACUCUGUGCCAGCAGCCGCGGUAAUACAGAGGGUGCAAGCGUUAAUCGGAAUUACUGGGCGUAAAA